This 253-nucleotide ribosomal RNA is filed under the name uncultured bacterium. RNAcentral describes it as "partial 16S ribosomal RNA". It matches the Rfam family "Bacterial small subunit ribosomal RNA", at positions 524 to 776 of the family's 1533-position model. The record is from RNAcentral. RNAcentral also lists the same sequence under 1 other name.
UACGUAGGGGGCAAGCGUUGUUCGGAAUUACUGGGCGUAAAGGGCGCGUAGGCGGCACGGCAAGUCAGGAGUGAAAGCCCUGGGCUCAACCCGGGAACUGCUUUUGAAACUGCCGAGCUAGAGUGCGGAAGGGGCAACUGGAAUUCCCAGUGUAGCGGUGAAAUGCGUAGAUAUUGGGAAGAACACCUGAGGCGAAGGCGGGUUGCUGGGCCGACACUGACGCUGAGGCGCGAAAGCCAGGGGAGCGAACGGG